RNAcentral lists this ribosomal RNA (552 nucleotides) under Pseudovibrio sp. N9mIS9. Its description in RNAcentral is "bacterial SSU rRNA". It matches the Rfam family "Bacterial small subunit ribosomal RNA", at positions 104 to 691 of the family's 1533-position model. Lineage: Bacteria; Pseudomonadati; Pseudomonadota; Alphaproteobacteria; Hyphomicrobiales; Stappiaceae. The record is from RNAcentral.
GGGUGAGUAACGCGUGGGAAGCUACCUUGUGGUAGGGAACAACAGUUGGAAACGACUGCUAAUACCCUAUGAGCCCUAUGGGGGAAAGAUUUAUCGCCAUGAGAUGUGCCCGCGUUAGAUUAGCUAGUUGGUAAGGUAAUGGCUUACCAAGGCGACGAUCUAUAGCUGGUCUGAGAGGAUGAUCAGCCACACUGGGACUGAGACACGGCCCAGACUCCUACGGGAGGCAGCAGUGGGGAAUAUUGGACAAUGGGGGCAACCCUGAUCCAGCCAUGCCGCGUGUGUGAUGACGGCCUUAGGGUUGUAAAGCACUUUCAGCAGUGAAGAUAAUGACAUUAACUGCAGAAGAAGCCCCGGCUAACUUCGUGCCAGCAGCCGCGGUAAUACGAAGGGGGCUAGCGUUGUUCGGAAUCACUGGGCGUAAAGCGUACGUAGGCGGGCUGAUAAGUUAGGGGUGAAAUCCCGGGGCUCAACCCCGGAACUGCCUUUGAUACUGUCAGUCUUGAGAUCGAGAGAGGUGAGUGGAACUCCGAGUGUAGAGGUGAAAUUCGU